Molecule: long non-coding RNA, 949 nt
Filed under: Populus trichocarpa (black cottonwood)
Lineage: Eukaryota; Viridiplantae; Streptophyta; Magnoliopsida; Malpighiales; Salicaceae
Description: long non-coding RNA (PTRI_LNC000870)
Source: RNAcentral
UUGACCAAAAUUUAAUUGUUGUCAAUGGUAAUAAAGUAAUUAUAUUGUUCAAUAAAAAUAUAAAAAAACUAUUUAACCUUAUUUAUUCUUAUAAUAACCAAAAGUCCUAUAAAAAACAUCUCCAUGCCCCCAUAAACAAAACCGAGUGAUUUAGCCAUCGAAAAAGCUAUUUUAGCUUUUGUUAUAAUAUACAACAAAACACCCCUAGACAUGCAUGCAUGGCCUCCCGCGAGUUGCCGUCAAGAGGACUGCUCUAGAGGAUCACUCAGGCCAUCAAAAUCAAGAAUCUUGGAUGUGGAUCUCAUCAUCCAUUAAGGAAGGAUUUUGUUAACUUGUCAUGGCAAAGACAAUCCCACUGUCUGUCGUCAUAUCACACACGACACAGCAACUCAGCUCAAAGGUCAUUGCUAGCUUCUACUCCAUGCCUCCUCCAAUUUUAUUAUUGAAUCGGAAAAGUGGCAGAGAGAAACACACUUUUGUUUGCAUGGAGAUGAAUGAAUGGAUGACGAUAAGGGCCUAUCCUUAAUUUUAUCCUCUUUCUUUUCAUUGGGCAAUCAAAACAAAACCAGGAAAGAAAAGAAAAGAAAAGCUGUGUAUGGUGUUUAAUCGUCUUGUCCUCUCUAGGAAUAAAUGGUGUGAUGAGAGAAAAGGGCCCUUUCAAUUUUCCUCGUUGUAGAUAAGCUGAAGUGUCCUCCUCAUCCUCCAAUCACUUCCAUGUAAUUUAUCAUUUUAUUUUGUUAAAUUAAUUGUUUGUUUUUUUAUUGCGGUUGCAUCGUAUUUUUUAAAAAAAAUUAAAGUUUUAGCUUUAUAUUAUUAUUAUUUUGGUGUGCUAAUAUAAAAAAUAAAUUUUAAUAUAUAUAUUUCCAACUUUUAUCACAUUCUCAACAAGCACUAAAAAUUAUGUAAUAUUAAUAAUUAUUUCGUACCAUCUAAGAAAAAUGAAAAAUAC